This 274-nucleotide ribosomal RNA is filed under the name uncultured bacterium. RNAcentral describes it as "partial 16S ribosomal RNA". It matches the Rfam family "Bacterial small subunit ribosomal RNA", at positions 523 to 796 of the family's 1533-position model. The record is from RNAcentral.
AUACGGAGGGUGCAAGCGUUACUCGGAAUCACUGGGCGUAAAGCGCGCGCAGGCGGUCUUUUAAGUUGGAUGUGAAAGCCUACGGCUCAACCGUAGAACUGCAUCCAAAACUAUUAGACUAGAGUGUGGGAGAGGAAGAUGGAAUUAGUUGUGUAGGGGUAAAAUCCGUAGAGAUAACUAGGAAUACCGAAAGCGAAGGCGAUCUGCUGGGACAUUACUGACGCUGAGGCGUGAAAGCGUGGGGAGCAAACAGGAUUAGAUACCCCAGUAGUCC